RNAcentral lists this long non-coding RNA (842 nucleotides) under Capra hircus (goat). Its description in RNAcentral is "lncRNA (ENSCHIG00000008169.1)". Lineage: Eukaryota; Metazoa; Chordata; Mammalia; Artiodactyla; Bovidae. The record is from RNAcentral.
CCGCAGCCCUGCCCGCGCGGCCAUGGCGAGGUCCUCCGGGAGAGCGGGUCCGCGGCGGGCCGCAGCCCAGAAGGGGAAGGAAAGGGACGCUAUGUCGCAUCGCCACUUGAUUAUCCAAGUACACCCCAACACACGCGCGCGCACACACACACGCCCCACGCGCGCACAGACUCCUGCCCAGAAACGCUUGAAAUCCUAGCUCCUUUGUGGUCACUGUGAAUGAGGCACGCGCGUUUCUGUCGCUUUACCUGGUAACUGGCUGGGGAGGUGUACCUGACUUAGCUGGAGACUUUGAUUUGUGGGACUGACAACCUUAUUAUGCAGGGAGCUUAUUAUUGAUAUUAUUCUGCUCUCGGUUGCCAUGACCACCUUCUGAGAGACAUCCAAUUUUCUCUCUUCCAUCAUCAUUAUCUAUGAGGCCAUCUGUUGUGGAAAAUGAAUUCAGGCUCAUUUGCAUGACUGAUAAGCAAUUUUUUUUUAUCUAUUUAACAGAAGGUCAUAUGCCGGGGAUUUGGAGCUCGUGAAAAAAAUGUGGAAAAAAAAAGCAUGUCGAGAGGAUGAGUGGGAGUGUGCGCCGGGGUGUGUGUGGAAGGGAAGCGGGUCCCUCAGGCCCGCGAGCCUGGCGUGCUGCGUCUGCCGUUCCCGCCCGGGCGACAUUUUUGUUCCCUAAGCUGCUGCACACUCAACAGGAAGGGAGCUUUCCUCGCAGCCUUCUUCAAGCCCCCCUGGUUUUUGUACUCGUUGUUGAGAAGCUCACGUGGGCGCCGAGGUGCACGCAGCUGCCGCCCGGGCGUCCGUCUGACCCGCGUGGACGUCUGCAGAGUCCGCGAGCGCGAAAAUGA